AUGGACCUGGAGGAGACAUUGCCGAAGAUGGACGUGGUGGAGGAUUCGAGCAUCAAAGCGAAGGCCGCAAAAGAGGAAAAAUUCAGAAAGCAGAAGGCCAGCAGAGGGCGUGAUGGUGGCAGGCGAGGCGGUGGGCAUGCAGGUCGCGUACGUGGUGAAGGUCAGGGCGGCCCGGGCCGCGGGGCCCCGCGGACCAUGCAGGUGCCGCCAUGGCCGAAACAUUACAAGGCCCUGUACUUCUACGCCACCAAGCAGCUGGGUAGGCAGUCCCGGGCAUCCCCCGCCAUUGCCGUUCAUCGUCUAUGUCAAUGUGGCGCCGCUGCUUUUCUCUGA
RNAcentral lists this ribosomal RNA (333 nucleotides) under Triticum aestivum (bread wheat). RNAcentral's name for it is "partial small subunit ribosomal RNA". Lineage: Eukaryota; Viridiplantae; Streptophyta; Magnoliopsida; Poales; Poaceae. The record is from RNAcentral.